Molecule: long non-coding RNA, 200 nt
Filed under: Elaeis guineensis (African oil palm)
Lineage: Eukaryota; Viridiplantae; Streptophyta; Magnoliopsida; Arecales; Arecaceae
Description: long non-coding RNA (EGUI_LNC024724)
Source: RNAcentral
CCUCCUCUCUCUCCACAGUUUCUCCUUCUAUUCACCACAUGUCCUUGACUAUCCUCAGAUAGCCCUUGUCAAGAGAGAGGAUUGUGAUAGUGCCAUCACAGUGCCGACUGCAUAGGUAGAAUUGGCUUGAAUUUGGGCCACUAGACCUACUUCUCGUCGGUGAGUGAGAAAAUCGGGAGAUGAAGAGGCGAUGGGGAAGA